Molecule: ribosomal RNA, 594 nt
Filed under: Aureobasidium subglaciale
Lineage: Eukaryota; Fungi; Ascomycota; Dothideomycetes; Dothideales; Saccotheciaceae
Description: eukaryotic LSU rRNA
Rfam family: Eukaryotic large subunit ribosomal RNA
Source: RNAcentral
AAAGCGGAGGAAAAGAAACCAACAGGGAUUGCCCUAGUAACGGCGAGUGAAGCGGCAACAGCUCAAAUUUGAAAGCUGGCCUUCGGGUCCGCAUUGUAAUUUGUAGAGGAUGCUUUGGGUAAAACGCCAGUCUAAGUUCCUUGGAACAGGACGUCAUAGAGGGUGAGAAUCCCGUAUGUGACUGGAAAUGUUAACCUAUGUAAAGCUCCUUCGACGAGUCGAGUUGUUUGGGAAUGCAGCUCUAAAUGGGAGGUAAAUUUCUUCUAAAGCUAAAUAUUGGCGAGAGACCGAUAGCGCACAAGUAGAGUGAUCGAAAGAUGAAAAGCACUUUGGAAAGAGAGUUAAAAAGCACGUGAAAUUGUUGAAAGGGAAGCGCUUGCAAUCAGACUUGUUUAAACUGUUCGGCCGGUCUUCUGACCGGUUUACUCAGUUUGGACAGGCCAGCAUCAGUUUCGGCGGCCGGAUAAAGGCUCUGGGAAUGUGGCCUCCACUUCGGUGGAGGUGUUAUAGCCCAGUGUGUAAUACGGCCAGCCGGGACUGAGGUCCGCGCUUCGGCUAGGAUGCUGGCGUAAUGGUUGUAAGCGACCCGUCUUA